AUUGAACGCUGGCGGAAUGCUUUACACAUGCAAGUCGAACGGCAGCACGGGUGCUUGCACCUGGUGGCGAGUGGCGAACGGGUGAGUAAUACAUCGGAGCGUACCCAGUCGUGGGGGAUAACGUAGCGAAAGUUACGCUAAUACCGCAUACGUCCUGAGGGAGAAAGCGGGGGACCGUAAGGCCUCGCGCGAUUGGAGCGGCCGAUGGCGGAUUAGCUAGUUGGUGGGGUAAAGGCCUACCAAGGCGACGAUCCGUAGCGGGUCUGAGAGGACGGCCUGCCACACUGGAACUGCGACACGGUCCAGACUCCUACGGGGGGCAGCAGUGGGGAAUUUUGGACAAUGGGCGAAAGCCUGAUCGAGCCAUUCCGCGUGAGUGAAGAAGGCCUUCGGGUUGUAAAGCUCUGUCGGCAGGGAAGAAACGGCUUGGGAUAAAACCCCGGGCUAUUGACGGUACCUGAAGAGGAAGCACCGGCUAACUACGUGCCAGCAGCCGCCGUAA
This 502-nucleotide ribosomal RNA is filed under the name uncultured bacterium. Its description in RNAcentral is "partial 16S ribosomal RNA". It matches the Rfam family "Bacterial small subunit ribosomal RNA", at positions 29 to 523 of the family's 1533-position model. The record is from RNAcentral.